RNAcentral lists this ribosomal RNA (432 nucleotides) under uncultured bacterium. RNAcentral's name for it is "partial 16S ribosomal RNA". It matches the Rfam family "Bacterial small subunit ribosomal RNA", at positions 29 to 506 of the family's 1533-position model. The record is from RNAcentral.
AACGAACGCUGGCGGCAUGCCUAACACAUGCAAGUCGAACGAGCCCUUCGGGUCUAGUGGCGCACGGGUGCGUAACGCGUGGGAACCUGCCCUUAGGUUCGGACUAACUCCCCGAAAGGGAUGCUAAUACCGGAUAAUGUCUUCGGACCAAAGAUUUAUCGCCUUUGGAUGGGCCCGCGUUGGAUUAGCUAGUUGGUAGGGUAAUAGCCUACCAAGGCGACGAUCCAUAGCUGGUCUGAGAGGAUGAUCAGCCACACUGGGACUGAGACACGGCCCAGACUCCUACGGGAGGCAGCAGUGGUGAAUAUUGGACAAUGGGCGAAAGCCUGAUCCAGCAAUGCCGCGUGAGUGAUGAAGGCCGUAGGGUUGUAAAGCUCUUUUACCCGGGAUGAUAAUGACAGUACCGGGAGAAUAAGCUCCGGCUAACUCCGG